GAGGUACUCCCUCCGCCCGAAAAUACUUGUCAUCAAAAUGGAUAAAAAUGAUGUACCUAGAACUACUAUACGUCUAGACACAUCCCUUUUUAUUCAUUUUGAUGACAAGUAUUUCCGGACGGAGGGAGUAAUAU
Non-coding RNA from Triticum aestivum (bread wheat), 134 nucleotides. The record is from Rfam. NCBI's taxonomy places the organism in Eukaryota, Viridiplantae, Streptophyta, Magnoliopsida, Poales, Poaceae.